This 244-nucleotide long non-coding RNA is filed under the name Elaeis guineensis (African oil palm). Its description in RNAcentral is "long non-coding RNA (EGUI_LNC050746)". Lineage: Eukaryota; Viridiplantae; Streptophyta; Magnoliopsida; Arecales; Arecaceae. The record is from RNAcentral.
CUAGUACUUUAUAUGAGAUAUGGAGAGGUAGGAAGUCUAAUCUUAAGUAUCCUAAGAUUUGGGGUACCCUGCUUAUGUCAGAAAUACUGAGAGACAUAAGCUAAGUACUAGGUCAGAUAAAUGCAAGUUUGUAGGUUAUUUUAAGAAGAGUAUAGGAUACUACUUCUACCACCCUACUCAAUAAAAGGUAUUUGUUAGUAGGCAUGCCAUCUUCCUGAAAAAAGAAUUUAUCCAAGAAGGAGAC